Molecule: ribosomal RNA, 698 nt
Filed under: uncultured organism
Description: bacterial SSU rRNA
Rfam family: Bacterial small subunit ribosomal RNA
Source: RNAcentral
CUCAGAACGAACGCUGGCGGGCGUUUAACAUGCAAGUCGAACGAGAACUCCGAUGCUUGCAUUGGAGGGAGAGUGGCGAACGGGUGAGUAACACGUGGAUUAUCUGCCUUCAGGUUGGGGAUAACCACCCGAAAGGGUGGCUAAUACCGAAUAAUAUGGCAACAUUAAAGGUGGGGACUUUCGAGCCUAUCGCCUGAAGAUGAGUCCGCGGCCCAUUAGCUCGUUGGUAGGGUAAUGGCCUACCAAGGCUACGAUGGGUAGCCGGCCUGAGAGGGUGACCGGCCACAUUGGGACUGAGACACGGCCCAGACUCCUACGGGAGGCAGCAGUUAAGAAUCUUGCGCAAUGGGCGAAAGCCUGACGCAGCGACGCCGCGUGGACGAUGAAGGCCUUCGGGAUGUAAAGUCCAGUAAGCAGGGAAGAAUAAGUAGAAACUAAUAUUUUCUACGAUGACGGUACCUGCCUAAAGCCCCGGCUAACUACGUGCCAGCAACCGCGGUAAUACGUAUGGGGCAAGCGUUGUUCGGAAUUAUUGGGCAUAAAGGGCGUCUAGGCGGGGGAUUAAGUUGGGUGUGAAAGCCACAGGCUCAACCUGUGAAUUGCACCCAAAACUGAUUCUCUUGAGUCCGGGAGAGGAGAGCGGAAUUCCAGGUGUAGCGGUGAAAUGCGUAGAUCUCUGGAAGAACACCAGUGGCGAA